AUUGAACGCUGGCGGCAUGCCUUACACAUGCAAGUCGAACGGCAGCACGGGUGCUUGCACCUGGUGGCGAGUGGCGAACGGGUGAGUAAUAUAUCGGAACGUACCUUAUUGUGGGGGAUAACGCAGCGAAAGCUGUGCUAAUACCGCAUAAUCCCUAAGGGGGAAAGCGGGGGACCGUAAGGCCUCGCGCAAUUAGAGCGGCCGAUACCUGAUUAGCUAGUCGGUGAGGUAAAGGCUCACCAAGGCAACGAUCAGUAGCUGGUCUGAGAGGACGAUCAGCCACACUGGGACUGAGACACGGCCCAGACUCCUACGGGAGGCAGCAGUGGGGAAUUUUGGACAAUGGGGGCAACCCUGAUCCAGCAAUGCCGCGUGAGUGAAGAAGGCCUUCGGGUUGUAAAGCUCUUUUGUCAGGGAAGAAACAGCAGCUCUGACACAGUAUGCGAAUGACGGUACCUGAAGAAUAAGCACCGGCUAACUACGUGCCAGCAGCCGCCGUAA
Molecule: ribosomal RNA, 501 nt
Filed under: uncultured bacterium
Lineage: Bacteria
Description: partial 16S ribosomal RNA
Rfam family: Bacterial small subunit ribosomal RNA
Source: RNAcentral